This 347-nucleotide unclassified non-coding RNA is filed under the name soil metagenome. Its description in RNAcentral is "partial contains 5.8S ribosomal RNA, internal transcribed spacer 2, and large subunit ribosomal RNA". The stretch from base 1 to 120 matches the Rfam family "5.8S ribosomal RNA", at positions 35 to 154 of the family's 154-position model. The record is from RNAcentral.
GAUGAAGAACGUAGCGAAAUGCGAUAAGUAAUGUGAAUUGCAGAAUUCAGUGAAUCAUCGAGUCUUUGAACGCACAUUGCGCCCCCUGGUAUUCCGGGGGGCAUGCCUGUCCGAGCGUCAUUGCUGCCCUCAAGCACGGCUUGUGUGUUGGGCCCCCGUCCCCGGUUUCCCCCGGGGACGGGCCCGAAAGGCAGCGGCGGCCCCGCGUCCGGUCCUCGAGCGUAUGGGGCUUUGUCACCCGCUCUGUAGGCCCGGCCGGCGCCAGCCGACACCCAACUUUAUUUCUAAGGUUGACCUCGGAUCAGGUAGGGAUACCCGCUGAACUUAAGCAUAUCAAUAAGCGGAGG